This is a long non-coding RNA of Coturnix japonica (Japanese quail), 1804 nucleotides long. Lineage: Eukaryota; Metazoa; Chordata; Aves; Galliformes; Phasianidae. The record is from Ensembl.
AUGAAUUCCGCCUCCAGCCUCACCACGCUCCGGCUGCUUCACCUCAUUGCCUUCCAUUCCUUCUCUCUGCUUUUUCUCCACCAUCUUCUCUCUCCUUUGGGCCCUAUUCUUCCUCCAUUCCUUCUCUCUGCUUUCUUUCCACAUCUUCUCUCUCCUUUGGGCCCCUAUUCUUGGCAUAUUCACCAAAAUGCCUCUUUUCUUCCCCAAUUUAAAGCUUCCAUCCGGGCUGUAACCAAUCCUCGCUCGUCCGCCUCUUCUAUUGGCUGCUUUUCUAUCUUCCUCUCUUCUCUCCUUCCUCUCAUCCUGAUUUCCCUCUUCUAUUUUCUAUCUUCUUUAUUUUUGGCCUAUUUUCUUCCUUAUUUUUGCCUAUUUUCUUGCUUAUUUUUCCCCUAUUUUCUUCUUUCUUUUGCCUAUUUUCUUGCUUAUUUUUCCCCAUUUUCUUCUAUUUUUCCUAUUUUCUCUAUUCUUCUGUUUCUUCACUUUCUAUUCUUCUCUACUUCUCCUUUUCUCUUCUUUUUUUUCCUAUUUUUCCCCAAUUUUCUCUAUUUUUUCUGCUUCUCUUCCAUUUUUUCCCCCCCUCCCCCCAUUUUAAACACCUCCGUCCUUUUUCUGACGCCAUUUUCCAGCGUUUUCGCUGUUGUUUUUGCUCCUUUUAUUCCCAUAUUAUUCCCCCUCCCCCGUUUUUAUCCCCACUGCAUUUUGCCAACCCCCCCCCAACAACAAAAAAGGCCCCAAAUCUUUGGGAUGGGGGUUAAAAAUCCAACCCCUUUCCUUUUUAAACAAAGGAAAACACCCCAAAAUUGACCUUUUUUUUCCCCCACUCAUUUCACUCGGUGAGUUGGAAAACGCUGAAAACUCUUUAUUUUCCCCCAUUUAAUUCCCUCUUUUCCCAGCAGUUUCCCAUCCCCGUUCUUACCCCACCAUCCCAUCCGCCCCUUCUCACUCAAUUUGGCCCAAAAAGCACCAAAAUAUCCCUAUUUCAGCCCAUUCUGCAGCAGUGCUGAGUCACGCUGCAGCCACGCUCGGCCCUUUAAAUGGGAAACCGAACCCCAUUUUAAUGCAUUUUAGGGGCAUUUCCGCUCCAGGUAACAACACCCUAAGAUUAAAGACACCCCAAAAACACACCAGACCUCUCAUUAGUCCUCAAUUAACGUUAAUUAAUGCUCUGACGACACGGGCGGCACCGGGGACCUUUUCCAUAUCGGAUUUCAAGGCGUUUCCUGUAAAACCAGAGAGAAAAACGCUGUUGUUAAUCGGUUUCUAUUGUUCUGAUGGAGCAUUUUGUGAUUAAAAACCCCAUUUCUUCCCCAUUUUUAUUGGUCCUUCCAUCACCCCAAAGCCCCAGAGUGGGAUCAGCCCCAUGGGUGCAAUGUGAUUUGCACAUUCCUGCUCAUACACACCCUAAAAACCCCAAUUAAAAAGCAAAAAUAGCCUAUUAUCCCAUAUUUAACAUUACUAUUAAAGUCUCGUUGGGACAACUCAUGUUUUUUAGCACAAAAACAGCCCCAAAAAGACACGUUUUUACUUCAGAAAUGACCCCCUGGGAGUCACCUGAAGGGCCUUUUACACUCAGAAAGACUCUGAAGAAAAAAAACAUCGUAUUUUCAUACAAAAACAUCAUUUGUUUUACUAUUAAACGUCAUUUUUGCUUCACUGAACCAAAGGGCUGAGAAUUCCCUGAAAUUUGAGGAGUUUUUUGGCUCUUUUUUGGGGUUAUUUCGAUGGUUUUUGGGUCUUUGAUUCAUCACCCUCCCCCCCCCCCCCCCCCCCCCCCCCCCCCCCCCCCCCCUCCCCCUCCCCCUCC